AGAGUUUGAUCAUGGCUCAGAAUCAACGCUGGCGGCGUGCCUAACACAUGCAAGUCGAACGAGAAAGUGGUAGCAAUACCAUGAGUAAAGUGGCGCACGGGUGAGUAACACGUGACUAACCUACCCUUGAGUGGGGGAUAACUGAGGGAAACCUUAGCUAAUACCGCAUAAUACCCACGGGUCAAAGGAGCAAUUCGCUCGAGGAGGGGGUCGCGGCCGAUUAGUUAGUUGGCGGGGUAAUGGCCCACCAAGACGAUGAUCGGUAUCCGGCCUGAGAGGGCGCACGGACACACUGGAACUGAAACACGGUCCAGACUCCUACGGGAGGCAGCAGUGGGGAAUUUUGCGCAAUGGGGGAAACCCUGACGCAGCAACGCCGCGUGGAGGAUGAAGUCCUUCGGGACGUAAACUCCUUUCGAUCGGGACGAUUAUGACGGUACCGGAAGAAGAAGCCCCGGCUAACUUCGUGCCAGCAGCCGCGGUAAUACGAGGGGGGCGAGCGUUGUUCGGAAUUAUUGGGCGUAAAGGGUGCGUAGGCGGUUUGGUAAGUCUGAUGUGAAAUCUAUGGGCUCAACUCAUAGUCUGCAUCGGAAACUGCCGGGCUUGAGUGUGGGAGAGGUGAGUGGAAUUUCCGGUGUAGCGGUGAAAUGCGUAGAUAUCGGAAGGAACACCUGUGGCGAAAGCGGCUCACUGGACCACAACUGACGCUGAUGCACGAAAGCUAGGGGAGCAAACAGGAUUAGAUACCCCGGUAGUCC
RNAcentral lists this ribosomal RNA (758 nucleotides) under uncultured bacterium. Its description in RNAcentral is "bacterial SSU rRNA". It matches the Rfam family "Bacterial small subunit ribosomal RNA", at positions 8 to 796 of the family's 1533-position model. The record is from RNAcentral.